Molecule: ribosomal RNA, 507 nt
Filed under: uncultured bacterium
Lineage: Bacteria
Description: partial 16S ribosomal RNA
Rfam family: Bacterial small subunit ribosomal RNA
Source: RNAcentral
AUUGAACGCUGGCGGCAGGCCUAACAAAUGCAAGUCGGACGGCAACAGGAAGCAGCUUGCUGCUUUGCUGACGAGUGGCGGACGGGUGCGUAAUGUCUGGGACACUGCCUGAUGGAGGGGGUUAACUACUGGAAACGGUAGCUACUACCGCAUAACGUCUUCGGGUCAAAGCGGGGGCCCUUCGGGCCUCUGGCCAUCAGAUGUGCCCGGAUGGGAUUAGCUAGUUGGUGGGGUAACGGCUCACCAAGGCGACGGACCCGAGCUGGUUCUGAGAGGAUGACCAGCAACACUGGAACUGAGACCCGGUCCAGACUCCUACGGGAGGCAGCAGUGGGGAAUAUUGCACAAUGGGCGCAAGCCUGAUGCAGCCAUGCCGCGUGUAUGAAGAAGGCCUUCGGGUUGUAAAGUACUUUCAGCGGGGAGGAAGGGGGAGUGGUUAAUAACCAUUUUCAUUGACGUUACCCGCAGAAGAAGCACCGGCUAACUCCGUGCCAGCCGCCGCCGUAA